RNAcentral lists this ribosomal RNA (406 nucleotides) under uncultured bacterium. Its description in RNAcentral is "partial 16S ribosomal RNA". It matches the Rfam family "Bacterial small subunit ribosomal RNA", at positions 29 to 526 of the family's 1533-position model. The record is from RNAcentral.
AUUGAACGCUGGCGGCAGGCCUAACACAUGCAAGUCGAGCGAGCGGCGGACGGGUGAGUAAUGUCUGGGAAACUGCCUGAUGGAGGGGGAUACCUACUGGAAACGGUAGCUAAUACCGCAUCCCAUCAGAUGUGCCCAGAUGGGAUGAGCUAGUAGGUGGGGUAACGGCUCACCAAGGCCACGAUCCCUAGCUGGUCUGAGAGGAUGACCAGCCACACUGGAACGGAGACACGGUCCAGACUCCUACGGGAGGCAGCAGUGGGGAAUAUUGCACAAUGGGCGCAAGCCUGAUGCAGCCAUGCCGCGUGUGUGAAGAAGGCCUUCGGGUUGGAAAGUACUUUCAGCGGGGAGGCGUUACCCGCAGAAGAAGCACCGGCUAACUCCGUGCCAGCAGCCGCGGUAAUUC